RNAcentral lists this ribosomal RNA (515 nucleotides) under uncultured bacterium. RNAcentral describes it as "partial 16S ribosomal RNA". It matches the Rfam family "Bacterial small subunit ribosomal RNA", at positions 28 to 523 of the family's 1533-position model. The record is from RNAcentral.
GAUGAACGCUGGCGGCGUGCCUAAUACAUGCAAGCCGAGCGAAUGGAUUAAGAGCUUGCUCUUAUGAAGUUAGCGGCGGACGGGUGAGUAACACGUGGGUAACCUGCCCAUAAGACUGGGAUAACUCCGGGAAACCGGGGCUAAUACCGGAUAACAUUUUGAACCGCAUGGUUCGAAAUUGAAAGGCGGCUUCGGCUGUCACUUAUGGAUGGACCCGCGUCGCAUUAGCUAGUUGGUGAGGUAACGGCUCACCAAGGCAACGAUGCGUAGCCGACCUGGGAGGGUGAUCGGCCAAACUGGGACUGGGAAACGGCCCAGACUCCUACGGGAGGCAGCAGUAGGGAAUCUUCCGCAAUGGACGAAAGUCUGACGGAGCAACGCCGCGUGAGUGAUGAAGGCUUUCGGGUCGUAAAACUCUGUUGUUAGGGAAGAACAAGUGCUAGUUGAAUAAGCUGGCACCUUGACGGUACCUAACCAGAAAGCCACGGCUAACUACGUGCCAGCCGCCGCCGUAA